Stomoxys calcitrans (stable fly) is the source of this 927-nucleotide long non-coding RNA. RefSeq lists it as uncharacterized. The transcript is spliced from 8 exons. Lineage: Eukaryota; Metazoa; Arthropoda; Insecta; Diptera; Muscidae. The record is from RefSeq and is a predicted model, not a curated record.
UUCCUUUUUAUUGGGAAACGUGUGAAGAAGUGGACCUUCAAUUUCAAUUUUGUUUUUGCUGCUGGUCUGCUGGCUUGCAUUGGUCGUACUUUUUUGAAUGGCCAGUAAACAAUAUUUUAAGAAAAAUGAAAGCAAUUGAGAAAUCGAUAGCAAGCCUUGAGGGAAUUAAUUACACUGAUAAUGUGGAUGCUGCAGACAAUAUUACCUGACAGCUUGGAAUGAUUACUUGCUUAUGAAAUAUGAGAAUUCAUUACACUGAUAAUGUAGAUGCAUUGGAUGUUGCACACAGAAUCGAUAGCAUGCCGUGCGGCCGGAAAUGUGAUUUUUUUUUUCGUGAGACAAGCAUGUGACAUGGCUCACCAACAUUACGAGAAAGUUUGCCUCAUGUAACACAUAAGAUUCUUCAUUUACCUAAGCAGCCACGAAAGAACGCAGAUAGCUUAGUAGUACGGAAAUGAUUUAAAGAAAAUAAAAAGAUGCCUAUAGAUUGAAGGCUAUCAAGGCGCAUUAGUUGGCAACUCCGCCUGUGACGCCGACCAUCUUUGAAUUUCUCCAGGAGUCAUUCUCCCACUUAAGCUGGCGACAUUUAGCAGACCUUCAACCAUGUAAAGUUUCUUUACACAGAGGCAUCGCUCAGCAGCAUAUUGUUAGUCGUUGCUUAUAGGAUAUUCUUGGAAAAUUUUGCAAAGCAAACAAAGCUUGCUAUGACAAGGUUUAUUUAAAGGAGUGAUGCGCUGGUUUACUUUCACCUUACAAAAAUGUGAUUCUACCCCAGUUUGUACAGGUUCGAGCGUUUAUGGAAAACCGCGUUUAUAGAAAGCCUCAUUUGAUUUGACAACAAAAAGCUGUGUUUUCGAGAACAAAAUGUAGCCUGUUACUGAUAUAGAAAAAUUUUUUAAAAUCUUUAAUAAAAUAUAAAAUAAUAAA